CUUCCUCUGCUUGCUGAUGUUGCAAAUAGCUUCUAUAUUAAAUAGUAACAUUCUUCAGCCAGAUUUUAAAUGAUCAGAUUGCAGUACAGUGCAAAAGGAUAGUCAGCAAGAAAAAGACACUUUGUAUUUUUAGUCACAUUUUGUAUUUUGUCAACCAUUGAUUUAUUUAUUCGUUCCGUAUUUACUGAGUGCUAGCCAUGUGCCAGCCAUUGCACCAAGUGCCAGGAAUACUAACUAGAUUCUUGACCUCCCAGCAGUCAAAGUGUAGUGAGAGAAGCAUGCAGGAAAUUAGAAUUAUAAAACCAGUGUGAUUUGAGAAAGGGUUUCUAAAAGUGCUGUGGGACCACAGAGGAGGGGAUGAUGUAGACUACUCAGAGAAGUCUGUGGUGACUUCACCAAGGACGGGUGUUGAUGCAAAAUGAACAAACCUUUUAGAAUGUCUGCGGGGGCGGGAAGGAAGAGAGUUUUAUUCGAGUCCAAGUGAGGACAGCUGCCCAGGAUACACAAUGUUCACGAAGAAGAGAGUGCUUCCCCUAAAGGAUCAUUUGAGAUGAAGUGAAGCUCCGUGAAGUUCACUGCUUUCCUGCCAGGUCACACAGCUGACAGCUGGAGAACUGGAUCGCAAAUCUGCGGACCACACUCUGUGCAGGGCCUCUGAGCUCCUGGAGGCUCAGCAGGUGCAGGCCUCCUGCAAGCUCUGGAGGUGGAGUGUUGUCAGGGUGCCCCAGAUUUGUUUUCAUCAGCUACACAUCAUGAAGAGCUACAGAAAUUGGUGGACACUGUGCUGUCAAUUAAGCAUAAGGACAUCCUUGUGGAAUUUGGGUCAUUUGAUCCUUCUUGCCUGAUGCCUGCCUGCCCAGAUUACUGGACCUACUCAGGGUCCAUGACUACCCCGCCACUCCAAGUCCGUUGCCUGGAUCAUUAAGAAGCAGCCCAUAGAGGUUGAUCAUGAUCAGGUCACCAGCAGAAGACUGUUCUGGAGGAUUCUUUACCUACAAACCAGAAUAACACCCACUCGGUUAUGCUGCAGAUGUGGAAAAUUCUGUAGACAUUUGAAAGAAAAAUACAUUAUGGAAAUCAGUACACAGUGGCAUGAGACUGUCCAAUCUCAUGCUAUGAUCACCUGAAGAGAGAUGUUAGGUAUGUAUGAAGAGUUUUUUCUACCAUGAAAAAUGUCUUAAGAAGAAAUUUCUAUCAUAGGAACUUCUCUUUUAAAAAUCAUCUACCUGGAGAUCAUUCCUUAAUGAAUUGGCCAAAAAAAAAAAAAUUAGUUGUGAGUGGAGAAUGUCAGGGGUCUCGUUGCCCUGCACCCACCGGUUAACCACAACCCCUCAUCCUGAAACAUUGGGUAUCUCUCCGACUUCAGAAAACUUCUGGUGCUCAUAGUGAUCUGAAGAGGCACCUGCACCCCAAUGUUUAUAGGAGCAAUGUCCACAAUAGCCAAAAUAUGGAAAGAACCUGGCUGUCCAACAGAUGAUUGGAUAAGGAAGACGUGGUGUGUGUGUGUGUGUGUGUGUAUAAAAUGGAAUAUUACUCAGCCAUCAAAAAGAAUGAAAUCUUACC
Leptonychotes weddellii (Weddell seal) is the source of this 1563-nucleotide non-coding RNA. The record is from RefSeq and is a predicted model, not a curated record. Lineage: Eukaryota; Metazoa; Chordata; Mammalia; Carnivora; Phocidae.